CUGAGUGAAAAUAGAUUCUACACCAAUUUUUUUGAGUGUACAACAAAUAACACCAUGAUAAAUGAAUGCUUUACCAUUUCAAUGAUGUAUCUCUGACUUUAUGAUCAUGAGAAUUUGUAGUUGGAAAUGUGCUUAAUCGUGUUGAAAAUCUCACAACACUAAUAAUAUGGUAAUAAUAAUAAUUGAUAAAACUGGCUUUAUUUUUAUACAUAUAGCUCAGAAAUAUGUAAAAAAAAAUCACUUCUUGUUUGGUUUUGUGGUGAAAUGUGUUUCUUGAGAUUCACGAGGCCAUGCCUUUAGCAGAUUUACAUCAUUGAAAUAUUACUGACACUGUUGAACAUAAGGAAAUUGUUCAAGUCGCAAAACCUUGCAUGCAUUUUAAGUUUCUUUUUCCUGUAAAAGAAAAAUCAUAAACCUUCCAGCAAACAGCAUGCAGAUGGGAGUUAAUCGUAAAUGACAAUAGUUUGAAUGUGCCAUUCCUUCUGUCUUCCGUUACUGGCGUUUCUCCAAAACAGAAGCUCUUUCGGGUUGUUUUAUAUUUUUUAACAUUGGGACAUAUUUUGGUGGUAUAUUUAGAUGUGUGAGUUUGUAUUUAAUGUGCCUUAUAAACAUUCUUACAUUUUCAUAUGUCUGUUUGCAUUUGUGCUUUCCAUCCUUUCUAAUAAUCUUCUUUUUUUUUUUUUUGACAUGUUGUCUUACACUGUGUUUGAUGUCUUGCGUAAAUGUAUGCUAUUUUCAUCAGUUAAACAGGUUUGGCUCCAGACGUUUAUCCAUAAUCACUGUGAACUGCAUGCAACCAACUUUCCCAACUGAGACACUCGGUGGAAGUUAGGGUCACAGCAGCAUAAACGUGCCUGGGAUGGAAGAAUUACAUAAGUUGUGAAAUGUUGCAUUUACAGCCUUGACAUGAUGCCAAAGAAACUCACCUUUGUGCUUGGAUUGGAGAGUUUUGAAGGUACAAAGGUGGACCUCGUGUUUUUUUCCCCGCUGACCUUCUUUAUGUGUUUCCUUUCUGUGAUUUCCGUUAUAGCUUUAUGGAGGAAAAGCUGACAUGCUCAAAAGAGUUGCCAAAUGUUUUUGUGGAAAUGGAUCUGAAAUGCAUUCUUUUAUUCUGUUUUGACUGGAGUGAAUACUGUAUGUGUGAGUGCGUAUGAGAGAGAGAGAGAGAGAGAUUGCUUGCUCUAGUGAUCUUUUUCUUUUGUACGGGUAAGAGAGUGAAACGUAUUUUACAAAAUCAAAUCAUAAUGCUAUCUCUAAAAGCCAUAUUCAUAUACAGUGGUGAACUUAGCUUUGAGCCAAAGAUGCAUUGAUCAUGUCGGCAUGUUCAGGAGUGUAUACUGAAUCACAUCUGUGUAAUUCUAUUGCUCUAUUUUCUCUGAUUUAAUGAAUUUAUGAAUAAGGGGUACUGCUUUUGAUGAUUUUCUGUUGUUUUUGAGAGUUUGGCAUUUUAAAACUGAGUUUGUUUAUAAUAUAUCGCGUGAAUAAUAUCA
Molecule: long non-coding RNA, 1490 nt
Organism: Sinocyclocheilus grahami
Lineage: Eukaryota; Metazoa; Chordata; Actinopteri; Cypriniformes; Cyprinidae
Exons: 2
Source: RefSeq, a predicted model, not a curated record